Molecule: ribosomal RNA, 301 nt
Filed under: uncultured bacterium
Lineage: Bacteria
Description: partial 16S ribosomal RNA
Rfam family: Bacterial small subunit ribosomal RNA
Source: RNAcentral
CAGCCGCCGCGGUAAUACAGAGGGUGCGAGCGUUAAUCGGAUUUACUGGGCGUAAAGCGUGCGUAGGCGGCUUCUUAAGUCGGAUGUGAAAUCCCUGAGCUUAACUUAGGAAUUGCAUUCGAUACUGGGAAGCUAGAGUAUGGGAGAGGAUGGUAGAAUUCCAGGUGUAGCGGUGAAAUGCGUAGAGAUCUGGAGGAAUACCGUUGGCGAAGGCAGCCAUCUGGCCUAAUACUGACGCUGAGGUACGAAAGCAUGGGGAGCAAACAGGAUUAGAUACCCCCGUAGUCCCUGUCUCUUAUAC